This 1544-nucleotide ribosomal RNA is filed under the name Pectobacterium polaris. RNAcentral describes it as "bacterial SSU rRNA". It matches the Rfam family "Bacterial small subunit ribosomal RNA". Lineage: Bacteria; Pseudomonadati; Pseudomonadota; Gammaproteobacteria; Enterobacterales; Pectobacteriaceae. The record is from RNAcentral.
AAAUUGAAGAGUUUGAUCAUGGCUCAGAUUGAACGCUGGCGGCAGGCCUAACACAUGCAAGUCGAGCGGUAGCACAGGAGAGCUUGCUCUCUGGGUGACGAGCGGCGGACGGGUGAGUAAUGUCUGGGAAACUGCCUGAUGGAGGGGGAUAACUACUGGAAACGGUAGCUAAUACCGCAUAACCUCGCAAGAGCAAAGAGGGGGACCUUCGGGCCUCUCGCCAUCAGAUGUGCCCAGAUGGGAUUAGCUAGUAGGUGAGGUAAUGGCUCACCUAGGCGACGAUCCCUAGCUGGUCUGAGAGGAUGACCAGCCACACUGGAACUGAGACACGGUCCAGACUCCUACGGGAGGCAGCAGUGGGGAAUAUUGCACAAUGGGCGCAAGCCUGAUGCAGCCAUGCCGCGUGUGUGAAGAAGGCCUUCGGGUUGUAAAGCACUUUCAGCGGGGAGGAAGGCGAUAAGGUUAAUAACCUUGUCGAUUGACGUUACCCGCAGAAGAAGCACCGGCUAACUCCGUGCCAGCAGCCGCGGUAAUACGGAGGGUGCAAGCGUUAAUCGGAAUGACUGGGCGUAAAGCGCACGCAGGCGGUCUGUUAAGUUGGAUGUGAAAUCCCCGGGCUUAACCUGGGAACUGCAUUCAAAACUGACAGGCUAGAGUCUUGUAGAGGGGGGUAGAAUUCCAGGUGUAGCGGUGAAAUGCGUAGAGAUCUGGAGGAAUACCGGUGGCGAAGGCGGCCCCCUGGACAAAGACUGACGCUCAGGUGCGAAAGCGUGGGGAGCAAACAGGAUUAGAUACCCUGGUAGUCCACGCUGUAAACGAUGUCGACUUGGAGGUUGUGCCCUUGAGGCGUGGCUUCCGGAGCUAACGCGUUAAGUCGACCGCCUGGGGAGUACGGCCGCAAGGUUAAAACUCAAAUGAAUUGACGGGGGCCCGCACAAGCGGUGGAGCAUGUGGUUUAAUUCGAUGCAACGCGAAGAACCUUACCUACUCUUGACAUCCAGAGAAUUUGCUAGAGAUAGCUUAGUGCCUUCGGGAACUCUGAGACAGGUGCUGCAUGGCUGUCGUCAGCUCGUGUUGUGAAAUGUUGGGUUAAGUCCCGCAACGAGCGCAACCCUUAUCCUUUGUUGCCAGCGAUUCGGUCGGGAACUCAAAGGAGACUGCCGGUGAUAAACCGGAGGAAGGUGGGGAUGACGUCAAGUCAUCAUGGCCCUUACGAGUAGGGCUACACACGUGCUACAAUGGCGUAUACAAAGAGAAGCGACCUCGCGAGAGUAAGCGGACCUCAUAAAGUACGUCGUAGUCCGGAUUGGAGUCUGCAACUCGACUCCAUGAAGUCGGAAUCGCUAGUAAUCGUAGAUCAGAAUGCUACGGUGAAUACGUUCCCGGGCCUUGUACACACCGCCCGUCACACCAUGGGAGUGGGUUGCAAAAGAAGUAGGUAGCUUAACCUUCGGGAGGGCGCUUACCACUUUGUGAUUCAUGACUGGGGUGAAGUCGUAACAAGGUAACCGUAGGGGAACCUGCGGUUGGAUCACCUCCUUACC